This 119-nucleotide small RNA is filed under the name Marmota monax (woodchuck). The record is from RNAcentral. Lineage: Eukaryota; Metazoa; Chordata; Mammalia; Rodentia; Sciuridae.
GCCAGGUGCAGUAGCAAGUGCCUGUAAUCCCAGCUACUUGGGAGGCUAAGGUGGGAGGAUUGCUUUACCCAGGAAUUUUAGACUAGCCUGGGCAACAACAUAGUUAAAUGUGGCCUAUA